Molecule: ribosomal RNA, 301 nt
Filed under: uncultured bacterium
Lineage: Bacteria
Description: partial 16S ribosomal RNA
Rfam family: Bacterial small subunit ribosomal RNA
Source: RNAcentral
CAGUAGCCACGGGAACACAGAGGGUGCAAGCGUUAAUCGGAAUUACUGGGCGUAAAGCGCGCGUAGGUGGUUCGCCAAGUUGGAUGUGAAAUCCCCGGGCUCAACCUGGGAACUGCAUCCAAAACUGGCGAGCUAGAGUAUGGUAGAGGGUGGUGGAAUUUCCUGUGUAGCGGUGAAAUGCGUAGAUAUAGGAAGGAACAUCAGUGGCGAAGGCGACCACCUGGACUGAUACUGACACUGAGGUGCGAAAGCGUGGGGAGCAAACAGGAUUAGAUUACCCCCGUAGUCCCUGUCUCUUAUA